RNAcentral lists this unclassified non-coding RNA (329 nucleotides) under soil metagenome. RNAcentral's name for it is "partial contains 5.8S ribosomal RNA, internal transcribed spacer 2, and large subunit ribosomal RNA". The stretch from base 1 to 120 matches the Rfam family "5.8S ribosomal RNA", at positions 35 to 154 of the family's 154-position model. The record is from RNAcentral.
GAUGAAGAACGCAGCGAAAUGCGAUAAGUAAUGUGAAUUGCAGAAUUCAGUGAAUCAUCGAAUCUUUGAACGCACAUUGUGCCCCUUGGUAUUCCGAGGGGCAUGCCUAUUCGAGCGUCAUUAUCACCCCUCAAGCCUAGCUUGGUGUUGAGGCCUGCUGUCAAGGCAGCCUCUAAAAUCAGUGGCAGUGCUGUCAGGCUCUAAGCGUAGUAAAUCUAAUCGCUAUAGACACCUGGUGGACACUCGCCAGAACCCCCCCAUUUUUUAAUGAUUGACCUCGGAUUAGGUAGGGAUACCCGCUGAACUUAAGCAUAUCAAUAAGCGGAGGA